UACGUAGGUGGCAAGCGUUAUCCGGAAUUAUUGGGCGUAAAGCGCGCGCAGGCGGUUUCUUAAGUCUGAUGUGAAAGCCCACGGCUCAACCGUGGAGGGUCAUUGGAAACUGGGGAACUUGAGUGCAGAAGAGAAAAGCGGAAUUCCACGUGUAGCGGUGAAAUGCGUAGAGAUGUGGAGGAACACCAGUGGCGAAGGCGGCUUACUGGUCCGGUACUGACGCUGAGGUGCGAAAGCGUGGGGAGCAAACAGG
Molecule: ribosomal RNA, 253 nt
Filed under: uncultured bacterium
Lineage: Bacteria
Description: partial 16S ribosomal RNA
Rfam family: Bacterial small subunit ribosomal RNA
Source: RNAcentral